This 253-nucleotide ribosomal RNA is filed under the name uncultured prokaryote. Its description in RNAcentral is "partial 16S ribosomal RNA". It matches the Rfam family "Bacterial small subunit ribosomal RNA", at positions 525 to 777 of the family's 1533-position model. The record is from RNAcentral.
AUAGAGGUGGCAAGCGUUGUUCGGAAUUACUGGGCGUAAAGGGCGCGUAGGCGGCCAUCUAAGUCAGACGUGAAAUCCCUCGGCUUAACCGGGGAACUGCGUCUGAUACUGGAUGGCUUGAGUUUGGGAGAGGGAUGCGGGAUUCCAGGUGUAGCGGUGAAAUGCGUAGAUAUCUGGAGGAACACCGGUGGCGAAGGCGGCAUCCUGGACCAACACUGACACUGAUGAGCGAAAGCCAGGGGAGCAAACGGGA